AACGAACGCUGGCGGCAGGCUUAACACAUGCAAGUCGAACGCUCGUAGCAAUACGGGAGUGGCGGACGGGUGAGUAACGCGUGGGAACGUGCCCUGAGGUACGGAAUAACUGGGGGAAACUUCAGCUAAUACCGUAUGAGCCCCGAGAGGGGGAAAGAUUUAUCGCCUUGGGAGCGGCCCGCGUCGGAUUAGCUAGUUGGUGGGGUAACGGCCUACCAAGGCUUCGAUCCGUAGCUGGUCUGAGAGGACGAUCAGCCACACUGGGACUGAGACACGGCCCAGACUCCUACGGGAGGCAGCAGUGGGGAAUCUUGCGCAAUGGGGGCAACCCUGACGCAGCCAUGCCGCGUGAACGAUGAAGGCCUUAGGGUUGUAAAGUUCUUUACCCGUGACGAUGAUGACGGUAACGGGGGAAUAAGCUCCGGCUAACUUCGUG
Molecule: ribosomal RNA, 436 nt
Filed under: uncultured bacterium
Lineage: Bacteria
Description: bacterial SSU rRNA
Rfam family: Bacterial small subunit ribosomal RNA
Source: RNAcentral